Molecule: ribosomal RNA, 287 nt
Filed under: Staphylococcus aureus
Lineage: Bacteria; Bacillati; Bacillota; Bacilli; Caryophanales; Staphylococcaceae
Description: partial 23S ribosomal RNA
Rfam family: Bacterial large subunit ribosomal RNA
Source: RNAcentral
CCCUAUCCGUCGUGGGCGUAGGAAAUUUGAGAGGAGCUGUCCUUAGUACGAGAGGACCGGGAUGGACAUACCUCUGGUGUACCAGUUGUCGUGCCAACGGCAUAGCUGGGUAGCUAUGUGUGGACGGGAUAAGUGCUGAAAGCAUCUAAGCAUGAAGCCCCCCUCAAGAUGAGAUUUCCCAACUUCGGUUAUAAGAUCCCUUAAAGAUGAUGAGGUUAAUAGGUUCGAGGUGGAAGCAUGGUGACAUGUGUAGCUGACGAAUACUAAUCGAUCGAAGACUUAAUCAA